CUACGGAGGGUGCAAGCGUUAUUCGGAAUCACUGGGCGUAAAGGACGCGUAGGCGGGUUGGCAAGUCAGAUGUGAAAUCCUACAGCUUAACUGUAGAACUGCAUUUGAAACUGCUAACCUAGAGUAUGGGAGGGGGAGAUGGAAUUAGUGGUGUAGGGGUAAAAUCCGUAGAUAUUACUAGGAAUACCGAAAGCGAAGGCGAUCUCCUGGAACAUAACUGACGCUAAGGCGUGAAAGCGUGGGGAGCAAACAGGAUUAGAUACCCUAGUAGUCC
Molecule: ribosomal RNA, 274 nt
Filed under: uncultured bacterium
Lineage: Bacteria
Description: partial 16S ribosomal RNA
Rfam family: Bacterial small subunit ribosomal RNA
Source: RNAcentral